RNAcentral lists this ribosomal RNA (429 nucleotides) under uncultured bacterium. Its description in RNAcentral is "bacterial SSU rRNA". It matches the Rfam family "Bacterial small subunit ribosomal RNA", at positions 355 to 775 of the family's 1533-position model. The record is from RNAcentral.
UCGAGAGGCUUCGGCAAUGGGGGAAACCCUGACCGAGCGACGCCGCGUGGAGGAUGAAGGCCCUUGGGUUGUAAACUCCUUUUGUUGGGGAAGAAAUGCGAUCAGGUGAACAAUCUGGUCGUUUGACGGUACCCGACGAAUAAGCUCCGGCUAACUCCGUGCCAGCAGCCGCGGUAACACGGGGGGAGCAAGCGUUGUUCGGAAUCACUGGGCGUAAAGGGCGUGUAGGCGGUCAAGUAAGUGGAAUGUGAAAGCCCCCGGCUUACCCGGGGAUCUGCAUCCCAAACUGCUUGGCUUGAGUAUGGGAGAGGAUGGAGGAAUUCCUGGUGUAGCGGUGAAAUGCGUAGAUAUCAGGAGGAACACCGGUGGCGAAGGCGUCCAUCUGGCCCAAUACUGACGCUGAGGCGCGAAAGCUAGGGGAGCGAACGG